Long non-coding RNA from Spinacia oleracea (spinach), 209 nucleotides. RefSeq lists it as uncharacterized. The transcript is spliced from 3 exons. NCBI's taxonomy places the organism in Eukaryota, Viridiplantae, Streptophyta, Magnoliopsida, Caryophyllales, Amaranthaceae. The record is from RefSeq and is a predicted model, not a curated record.
AGCACUUCUCCAAUUUCGAAGUGACAGGGAGCUUGCCACAAAGUUAAAGAUGAACACAAAAUGGAUAAAAAUACAAUGUCCUUGCCAAGAAGAUUACAUAGAUUGUGGAUAUUAUGUGAUGAGAUUCAUGAAGGAGAUAAUCUCACACAAGCGACUUCAAAUUCCUGAAGAAUACUUUUCAGAUUGUCAGUUUCCAAGUUAUGACACGG